Molecule: ribosomal RNA, 370 nt
Filed under: uncultured organism
Description: bacterial SSU rRNA
Rfam family: Bacterial small subunit ribosomal RNA
Source: RNAcentral
CGUAGGGUGCGAGCGUUAAUCGGAAUUACUGGGCGUAAAGCGUGCGCAGGCGGUUGUGCAAGACAGAUGUGAAAUCCCCGGGCUUAACCUGGGAACUGCAUUUGUGACUGUACGGCUAGAGUGUGUCAGAGGGGGGUAGAAUUCCACGUGUAGCAGUGAAAUGCGUAGAUAUGUGGAGGAAUACCGAUGGCGAAGGCAGCCCCCUGGGAUAACACUGACGCUCAUGCACGAAAGCGUGGGGAGCAAACAGGAUUAGAUACCCUGGUAGUCCACGCCCUAAACGAUGUCAACUAGUUGUCGGGUCUUAAUUGACUUGGUAACGCAGCUAACGCGUGAAGUUGACCGCCUGGGGAGUACGGUCGCAAGAUUA